This 253-nucleotide ribosomal RNA is filed under the name uncultured bacterium. RNAcentral describes it as "partial 16S ribosomal RNA". It matches the Rfam family "Bacterial small subunit ribosomal RNA", at positions 524 to 776 of the family's 1533-position model. The record is from RNAcentral.
GACGAACCGUACGAACGUUAUUCGGAAUCACUGGGCUUAAAGGGUGCGUAGGCGGCGCUAAAAGUUGGGUGUGAAAUCCCUCGGCUUAACCGAGGAACUGCGCCCAAAACUGUAGUGCUUGAGGGAGACAGAGGUGAGCGGAACUUAGGGUGGAGCGGUGAAAUGCGUUGAUAUCCUAAGGAACACCCGUGGCGAAAGCGGCUCACUGGGUCUCUUCUGACGCUGAGGCACGAAAGCUAGGGUAGCGAACGGG